GAAACUUAUCGGCCUAUUCUAGUCCUGCUAAGUCUUAGUAAUCUGUAGUUCAACUCUAUAGAAGUUUCG
Molecule: transfer RNA, 69 nt
Filed under: Echinaster brasiliensis
Lineage: Eukaryota; Metazoa; Echinodermata; Asteroidea; Spinulosida; Echinasteridae
Description: tRNA-Ser
Source: RNAcentral